Molecule: ribosomal RNA, 266 nt
Filed under: uncultured bacterium
Lineage: Bacteria
Description: partial 16S ribosomal RNA
Rfam family: Bacterial small subunit ribosomal RNA
Source: RNAcentral
CCUUAUUGUUAGUUGCCAUCAUUCAGUUGGGCACUCUAGCGAGACUGCCGGGUCAACUCGGAGGAAGGUGGGGAUGACGUCAAAUCAUCAUGCCCCUUAUGUCUUGGGCUUCACGCAUGCUACAAUGGCCGGUACAAAGGGCUGCGAUACCGCGAGGUGGAGCGAAUCCCAAAAAGCCGGCCUCAGUUCGGAUUGGGGUCUGCAACUCGACCCCAUGAAGUCGGAGUCGCUAGUAAUCGCAGAUCAGCAACGCUGCGGUGAAUACG